RNAcentral lists this long non-coding RNA (398 nucleotides) under Rattus norvegicus (Norway rat). RNAcentral describes it as "long non-coding RNA NONRATT010462". Lineage: Eukaryota; Metazoa; Chordata; Mammalia; Rodentia; Muridae. The record is from RNAcentral.
GGGUUGCGGAACAUUCUCCUCAUAUCCGAUGGCCACCUUCAGAGUGAGAGUCUGACCUUGCAGCUCGUGAAAAGAAAUAUCCAGCACACCAGAGUGUUCACCUGCGCUGUUGGUUCUACAGCGAAUCGUCACAUCCUAAGGACCUUGUCUCAGUGUGGUGCUGGAGUGUUUGAGUAUUUUAACUCAAAAUCUAAGCACAGUUGGAAAAAACAGAUAGAAGCCCAAAUGGCCAGGAUACACUCCCCAAGUUGUCACUCCGUCUCUGUGAAGUGGCAGCAGCUUAGCAGAGAUGCCCCUGAGCCCCUGCAGGCUCCCACGUGCGUGCCCUCCUUGUUUCACAAUGAUCGACUCCUGGUCUAUGGAUUCAUUCCUCAUUGUACACAGGCAUCCCUGUGUGC